AGCCGUGAUGCCUCCCCUGCCGACGGGGAUGGCCGACUUUUGGCGAGUCAACCCCUCCCCCAAAUCCACCCCACCCGCGUACUCCCUCCUGACCUAGCUGUCGCGAUCCUGCUGCGAGGAGGCCAGGGUGAGGGUAGGAACGCAUCCUAGAAGGGUAACACGUGUUUUCUAUCAUUUAAGUCGGGGACUAACCGGAAGGCUGACUAUCGCCAUCACUCUGAUAGGCACCCGCAGUGGGGAUCCUGCUAGAUUAUUAAAGGCAGACCUCCAAGUUCCUGCCUCCUCUGCAACCUUUCUCCUCUCACGGAUCUGCAGUGUUUUAAAAGUCGUCAUUCUGUGUCGUUGGGUUAGAGGGGAAAACAUUGGAUAAAAGAGUAUCAGGAAGAACCCUAGAUACAUCUGUCUGAUGAAAGGAGUCUAGGAAAAGAAGUUUCAUUCUUAGAAUAAAUCUUUUUGGAUAUUUAUUAUGUGUGUUUUGUGUCAGGUUUCGUGCCAAAAAGCCGAAAUAAAGAACGAAGUCAAUAAUAAUAUGGAGUAUACGAGAAAUAGCUGGAAAAUUCAUCAUUCAUGGCUUGAAGAAAUUGACAUUUUACAAGUUGUAUUUUCGGUUCGUAUUGUGGAGUCAUUUAAGGAGCUAUCCCAAAGUACUUUAGGAUAUGUAACUAUAUAAAACCUUCCAAGAAUGCAGCCCUCAUAGGAGAGUUAAAAUAAGGAUUUUAAUGGACUAUUUUGAUUUGGUUUGGUCUGGUUUGGCUACCUGAUUCCUGCUGUCUUUUCCCAUGCUAGCCGAAGAGGCACUUUCAAGAUCCUUCCCUGAAACCUGUACCAAUAAGACUAUACCAAUGUUCAGUUGAAACAUCAGGUAUAAGUUUAGCGGAAGCGAAAGUACAACCUGCUUUGAAAUAAAUUCCAAGGACAGAUUGUCAUUAACGAAAUAGAAAUUGGACUAUGCCCCUGAUGCUGCCAGCGCCUGGUAUGAUGCGGCGUGACGCGCAGCGCUUGCGGCAGUACAAUGCCCUCAAUCACCCGCCCGGCACCGACGCGCCGCCCACUCACGGCAAAGAGAGCCACCUAGUGAGAGAUUAUUCUCAUUUCCGCGAUACUGUUCUAGUUAUGAUGGAUACCACAAUGAAAGAGACCUGGUUCCUGUCUUGAGGGAACCCACCUGCUGGUAGAGAUCUCAGAAUGAUGAUUAGGAUGCAAUAUAAGGGAUGCAGUAAUUGGGAAGGUGCCUGCUUCGCCUUCCACCAUGAUUGUAAGUUUCC
Long non-coding RNA from Cercocebus atys (sooty mangabey), 1265 nucleotides. RefSeq lists it as uncharacterized. NCBI's taxonomy places the organism in Eukaryota, Metazoa, Chordata, Mammalia, Primates, Cercopithecidae. The record is from RefSeq and is a predicted model, not a curated record. The transcript is spliced from 3 exons.